Non-coding RNA from Pyrenophora tritici-repentis Pt-1C-BFP, 81 nucleotides. The record is from the annotation of a RefSeq genome assembly. NCBI's taxonomy places the organism in Eukaryota, Fungi, Ascomycota, Dothideomycetes, Pleosporales, Pleosporaceae.
UCCGAAUUAGUCCAUCGGCUAGGAUAUCUCGCUUUCAUACUUGGAUCCGAGAAGAGCCGGGUUCGAUUCCCGGAUUCGGAA